This 1463-nucleotide ribosomal RNA is filed under the name Scyphidia sp. snail. Its description in RNAcentral is "SSU rRNA". It matches the Rfam family "Eukaryotic small subunit ribosomal RNA", at positions 140 to 1674 of the family's 1831-position model. The record is from RNAcentral. Lineage: Eukaryota; Ciliophora; Oligohymenophorea; Sessilida; Scyphidiidae.
UGGAUAACCGUGACAAAUUACAGCUAAUACAUGCAGUCAGACCUGGUCCAAGGGUCGUAAUUAUUAGUAUUAAGCCAUACCCGCAAGGUGUAUGAUGAUUCAUAAUAAUCGAACGAAUCGCCUGGUGUGCGAUAAAUCAUUCAAGUUUCUGCCCUAUCAGCUUUGGAUGGUAGUGUAUUGGACUACCAUGGCAGUCACGGGUAACGGAGAAUUAGGGUUCGAUUCCGGAGAGGGAGCCUGAGAAACGGCUACCACAUCUACGGAAGGCAGCAGGAGCGAAAAUUGCCCAAUCCCGAUUCGGGGAGGCAGUGACGAGAAAUAGCAACUCUUGAUAAUUUUAAGAAGUGCAAUGAGGAUAAUUCAAAACCCUUACCGAAAGCAAUUGGAGGGCAAGUCUGGUGCCAGCAUCCGCGGUAAUUCCAGCUCCAAUAGCGUAUACUAAAGUUGUUGCAGUUAAAAAGCUCGUAGUUGAAGUUCUGGCUGUUUGAUCUUCGCGCUCCGUAGCCGAAGGCUCAACAGUCAUCCGCUUGCAAACAUAGUUCGCCCUUCACCGGGUGGUUAUGUGAGUAAGCAUUUUACCUUGAGAAAAACAGAGUGUUCCAGGCAGGUUUGUCCGGAAUGCAUUAGCAUGGAAUAAUAGAAUAUGACUGAAGUCGAUUCAUUGGUUUAAGGCUUUAGUAAUGAUUAAUAGGAACAGUCGGGGGCAUUGGUACUUGACAGUCAGAGGUGAAAUUCAAGGAUUUGUCAAAGACUAACAAAUGCGAAAGCAUUUGCCAAGGAUGUUUUCAUUAAUCAAGAACGAAAGUUAGGGGAUCAAAGACGAUCAGAUACCGUCCUAGUCUUAACUAUAAACUAUACCGACUCGGAUUCAGAUGAAUCGUAAAGUUCAUUUGGGACCGUAGGAGAAAUCAAAGUUUUUGGGUUCUGGGGGAAGUAUGGUCGCAAGGCUGAAACUUAAAGGAAUUGACGGUUUUGCACCACCAUGGAGUGGAGUCUGCGGCUUAAUUUGACUCAACACUGGGAAACUCAUCAGGGCAAGAAGAUUGUAGGAUUGACAGAUUGAGAGUUCUUUCUUGAUUGGUCUAGUGGUGGUGCAUGGCCGUUCUUAGUUGGUGGAGUGAUUUGUCUGGUUAAUUCCGUUAACGAACGAGACCUUAACCUGCUAACUAGUACACCGAUGACAAAUCUGUGUGUUACUUCUUAGAGGGACUAUGUGAUGUAAUCACAUGGAAGUUUGAGGCAAUAACAGGUCUGUGAUGCCCUUAGAUGUCCUGAGCUGCACGCGUACUACAAUGGUGCUUUCAACGAGCAUUUCCUGAUCCGAAAGGAUUUGGGUAAUCUUUUUAGUGAGCACCGUGUUUGGGAUAGAUCUUUGUAAUUAUGGAUCUUGAACUAGGAAUUCCUAGUAAGCGCGCGUCAUCAGCGCGUGCUGAUUACGUCCCUGCAAAAUGUACACACCGCCC